AAACAUUAUUCUUGAUGUCUCUGCAAGACUGUUUUGGGGGUGAAAUUAACAGGCAAGUUGGUGAGCUUUGGUGAAGCAAACAACCUUACAUGAUUUCUGUGGCCCUGCAGACUCCUGACUGAACUAACACAGUUGGGGAGAAUAAGCCGUAAAAAGGGGAGCUUUUCUGUCCUUUCACUUUGCACUGAUGCCCCAUCCAUCCUCCCUUUCUGCUUGCCAUGGUAAAUGGUGUCCGACGUAACACAGAUGCACUGUGCACUGGAGAGGCAGAGCAUCCUGCCUUCCACAGCCGUGCACACCAGUCCCUGUGCACAAGUGGCCACCCACCCAGCGAAUCGACGUGGUGUGCUUAUCAAAAUCUGUGUGUCUGUGGGCCAGAGCCAAAUCCAGAGCCCCAUCCUGAAUGCCCAGCGGUGCCCACAGCCAGGAGGAGCAUUCGAUGUGUGAUGACUCAUCUCGUGCAUCAGACGCUCUCUAAAGUUCCCACAGAUUAUACCAUGGCUUAGUGAGUGCGAUUCUAAGACAGUUCCAAAAGACUUUUCAAUCCGUGGGAGUUUCAAAGUGGAUUCUCAGACAAACAUGGGGAGGACUGAGGCAGGCUUGGACACGCACAGAAUCAGACAACGAUGGUCCGGAGUUCAAAUCCCUGCAACCACAUGGUGGCUCACAACCAACUGUAAUGAGAUCUGGCGCCCUCUUCUGGAGUGUCUGAAGACAGAUACAGUGUACUUACAUAUAGUAAAUAAAUAAAUCUUAAAAAAAAAAAAAA
RNAcentral lists this long non-coding RNA (769 nucleotides) under Mus musculus (house mouse). RNAcentral's name for it is "cDNA sequence BC023486". Lineage: Eukaryota; Metazoa; Chordata; Mammalia; Rodentia; Muridae. The record is from RNAcentral.